Molecule: ribosomal RNA, 349 nt
Filed under: Acinetobacter calcoaceticus
Lineage: Bacteria; Pseudomonadati; Pseudomonadota; Gammaproteobacteria; Moraxellales; Moraxellaceae
Description: bacterial SSU rRNA
Rfam family: Bacterial small subunit ribosomal RNA
Source: RNAcentral
GCUUAACACAUGCAAGUCGAGCGGAGUGAUGGUGCUUGCACUAUCCUUAGCGGCGGACGGGUGAGUAAUGCUUAGGAAUCUGCCUAUUAGUGGGGGACAACAUUUCGAAAGGAAUGCUAAUACCGCAUACGUCCUACGGGAGAAAGCAGGGGAUCUUCGGACCUUGCGCUAAUAGAUGAGCCUAAGUCGGAUUAGCUAGUUGGUGGGGUAAAGGCCUACCAAGGCGACGAUCUGUAGCGGGUCUGAGAGGAUGAUCCGCCACACUGGGACUGAGACACGGCCCAGACUCCUACGGGAGGCAGCAGUGGGGAAUAUUGGACAAUGGGCGCAAGCCUGAUCCAGCCAUGCC